RNAcentral lists this long non-coding RNA (20552 nucleotides) under Triticum aestivum (bread wheat). RNAcentral's name for it is "long non-coding RNA (TAES_LNC022559)". The record is from RNAcentral. Lineage: Eukaryota; Viridiplantae; Streptophyta; Magnoliopsida; Poales; Poaceae.
CAGAGACUUGCACUGCGGCUAUGCUUCAUGAGAGCUAUGGGGUUAUGUAGACAAAUGUGAGAUCGUGCCAUAAGCAAAUGACAUCAAGAUCUGAGCACCGUUGCAGACGGCCUCGAGUUAUUUUCCUCUUCAUCUCCUACAAAAUGUAAGUGCGAGCCGAUCAUAUGCAUCCUUCCUAGUGCAGAUUAUUUUUUUAGUUCCUCCAUAUCACUAUGUAAGUCUGUAGUGUUGUACUCCUUAUUUAUGAAAUUUCUCUUCAUACAGGUUGCUUGCAUGGUCAAUUUGGGCAUCGGUUUGUUAAGCAGCAAAAGCUCGCAUGUUGAAUCUACUCAACUCAAGUAUGUUUCCACCAGAAAACUCAAUCGUGUAGUGUAUGGAAUGACAUGUUUAUUUAGUUUCUACUAAUUAGUUUGGAUAACCUCUGAUCAUCCGAUGAAGUAACUGAGAAGAAAUUUUGGUGAUGUUAUUACUUCCCAUUUUUUUAUACCUAUGCAAUUAAUGUUAUUUGUUGCUGGUUUUGCUGUGGCGCCAAGUCUAAAUGAGGGAACCUUGUUUUUAUUCAAAGCAAGAUCCAUGUGUUGACAUAGGAUGGAUUUUGUACAAAAUGCCUAUAAUAUCGAGCUUUUCUAAUAUUCUCUUAACUGAAAAAGGCUGUUGGAUAGAGAGCUUUUAUGAAGAGCAGAAAACUCAUAUAUCAAGUAAUUACAACAUGACAUGCUUCUGGUAGUGCUAACUUCAGCCGUUCAGCGCCUUGUUAUGUAAUACGUGUCGUUAUAUUGGUAGAUGUCAAGUGCUCUUCUCUAUCUCAGUUAUGGUCUGCCUUAGUUUCAGUCUAAGCUAUAUUAAUCAACUAAUUUUGUGGGUAACCUCCUUGUUCGCCUAGGUUUUUUUGGCUACUGUAUCUUCGAACUGACCACUUCUCUUGUAGCAUUUUUCUUCAACACUUCCGGUCUUGUGGCCAUAAACCUCUUUGGUCAUUUUAUGCGAUCUCCUUAUGGCUGCAGUAUCAGUACAUCUUAUUUUGCCACAACUGGCAACUGAGUCUUCAUCUUUAAGCAUUGCAGUUUUUACUUCCGCUUCAACAUGUUUCUUGUUCCCAGCAUACAUCUUUCCUUUCUUGUACACUUAUCUUGGUGUAUUCAUCCUCUGAGCCAUCCGAUAAUAUGAUAGAUCUCUAUCAUUUUAUUUUGUCAUGGCAGAGUCCAUGUGAUGUUUAUGUUUUUUUUCUUCACACCCAUCAUCAUGUACUAUAACCCCAUUAGUAUCGUGUGGUUCUUCUUACAUAGAAACAAAUUGUCAUAUCCUUUUCUGAGGUGAAUCUCUAUUGUUAUUUGUCUGCAAAAUAAAAAUACAUUUCAAAGAUUACACGUGUCUCUAAAGUUUGAGAAGUAGUACUCUGAGAAAAUUAAUCACCCUUUAGCCUCUAUGUUAUGCUUCUUUGUUGCUUUUUUGAACACGACGUCCACUUCAUCAUGCAAAAUUCUGAGAAUCAUAUGUGAGAUGUAUUAGUUAGGAAAAUACAAACACAAUACUUCUUUUGUAAUGGAUAAAGGCAAAUUUUCCUCCUCGGCUUUAUCUUUCAGGUCCAUCAUCUCAAGCCUAUCAUCACACACAAAUGUUCUUUUUACUGCAUAGUUUUUUGUUCUGAAAGUGAGAUUGCCAUCGCUGAACAUGAGCUGAAAAUAAGUGUUUGUCAACAUUAUUAUUAUGUAAUCUUUGGCGCUUCUUCAUAUUUCUCAUCCAGUGAAUUUAGCAAGUCCGAGACAAAUGUAUUGAACAAUUUUUCGGCCUCACCGUCAAAUAAAGUGCAACUUGUAGUAGUCGUACAGUCAUUAAUUUAUUGUCAAAUACGAUAACUAUCAUACGAUUGUUAUUAGUGUAGAGUAAAUGUAAUAGGAAAGAAGUCUUCUUCGAAUAUAUGCUUACCGAGGUGAUACAUCAUCUCGAUAUGUAUCACAACUCUCGUAACAGUACUUGUCAACUUCCUUCUUAUCUAGUUUGUGAAAAUCAUCACAUCACAUAUACCAGCUUUGAAUAUGAUCACUUGUAGCUAUUACUGUGAACACAAAAUCCUAAAAUGAUUUCCCAAAAAUUUAGCAUACUGGAGAAAGUGAAAGACAUAAUUAAGUAGAUAUGCACUAUAACUGAUAUUUACUAAGUUGUCAUUGCAGGUAUUGAGAGUCUGGUUUUCCUCAAAAAGUGGCGAUUUCAUAUCUUAGAAGAAGUCUCGCAUUAGUUCAAAUUUGAACUAAAACCAUAACACUUAUUUUGGAUCGAGGAGUAUGAAUUUGGUAUUGAUUCUUGUGUUGAGUUCCUGCACAUUUGGAGCAAAUCGAGUAUAAUAAUUAUCUUAGAUUGGUGAAUAAAGAUGAGUCAAGAUAAAUUAGCUGAGAAAUAAUAAAAGUUGGUCUUUCAUACCUGUCAACAAUUUCCCAAGUUUAUGGUAUAUCUAGAUCUGUAUAGAUUCUUAUGACACUUGACUUUAAGCAUAAUCAUGUUUAAUCAAAGUAAAUUCUGUUAGACAUAUUUUUAUAAGGGAGAAGUAUAUUUUUUGUCCCUAAACUCUUUUGAAAGUAUAGAAAUAGUCCUUGAAUUCAAAAAUCAGCAAAACUUAGUCCCUCAACUUUUCAAACCGGAUUAGUUUAGUCUCUCAUACCGCUUCGAGUGGUUUCCAUCUGAUGUGGACAUGGUUUUGACCAAAAACUUGAAACGUCACCUAGGCUUGACCGCCACGUCAGUCCAUGUCAUUUUUUUCAAAGCACAGUGCAUGUCACCAAGGGCCCCAGUACUACCAGGCGCGGCGAGUUCGGAUGAGAAGCCGGACAGCGUCGUCCAUGACGGUCAUGCGGCGGAGACAAAGUGCUCGAGCGGCCAGAGGAGCUCGGCGACCCAGGGCGUGGCGUUGGCAGACGAGUUACUUGGCCUCCGUGUUGCACGGGCCGUCGAGCUGCAGCCUGCGCCCAGCGCGACGCCGCUGACCUUUUGGACAGGAGGCCUGAGCAGGAGGAGGAGCUCGAGGCCGCGAGCUCGGACAAGCCCUCCGCGGGCACCUCCACUGACCGCGUUGGUCAUGCAUCCGAUCGUAUGCAUCAGGGUGUAAGGUGCAGUCUAGGGAGCAACACAUCACGUGCGUGUGUAUUCUGGGCGAGAUCGGAUCAGCAUGUUCGUUGUGUUUGGCCUGCAUCUCCUGCGGGCCGAAUCAAUACGUAUGUUCACGUAUACCUACGUGUUUUGCCGGCGGCUAGAAUCAAUCCAGCAGCUAGUCUGCACUUCGUGUUCCUUUUUGGAGCACGCCUGCCUCACAGGAGACCCAAGGCCGCGCCCUGGUGCACCAGCUCAUUGCAGGAGCUCGCGAUCCCUGCUCGCGUGGUGCCCCUCCAUCCAUCCUAGCUAUGGUCAUGUCAAGCCCAACCACAACAUGAAUGAAGAACGGUAAGUCCGUCAGUGCAGACCUUGGUUUUAUGAGGACCCGCGCGAGCGUGCAGACUUGAGCCACCAGCGGUGGCAGCGACACGAGCAAAAGAGCAGCUUUGGGAGCUUCACGCCGUUGACCCUGCCUCCAGCACUCUAACAGACCAAGGGAAUACACAGGCCAUCGUUAAUCAGCCUCAUCAUGGACCACCCGGGCCGACGCGCACCGAGCCGCACCACGCCGGCUGCAGGCGCAGCAAUAUUUGCCCGUUGCACACACUGCCGGGCGCCGUCGACACGCACUGCCCGCUCGCUGAGCAUUAUACCGACCACCUUUCGUGCACGUAUCCGAGUCAAAAACGACACCGCGUCAGCAGAAAAUCACCCUAAGCAAGACGAGGGAUUAAACUUAUCCGGUUUUGAAAGUUGAGGGACUAAACUUAUCUGGUUUUGAAAAUUGAGGGACUAAGUUUUGCUGGUUUCGGAGUCGAGGGACCAUUGCUAUACUUUCGAAAGAGUUGAAGGACGAAAAAUAUACUUAUCCCUUUUUAUAAUUAAUAGAAGAGCUUGUAACAUUAAUGAACUUACCAUUGAACUUCUACACCAGUGAUGAGAAAUGGUUGUGCAAUAUGGACUUAAUCUUAUAUUAGAAUUCAAUCUGGCUGAAAUAUGAAGGUUCGGGGUUAUUUCUUUUUAUUAUUGAUUCCACAUGCUCCAUUUGGGUUGGUAGUCCAAUGACGUCUCUAAAAGCGGAGUUAAUUAUUUGAAAGUUUCAUCUAAUUUUUUUUCCUUUGUAGCAAACUCGAAGUAGUAAACUGGGUAACCUUCUGAUGAUCCUCUCACCUCCGGCGAGCUCCGGCUACCCUGGACCGGGCGCUGCCGAUGCAAGCUCCCCACGCGCCGCUGCCCUGUCUCCAUCCCAUCCUCCCUCUCCCUCCCCCCUCUCCCUCCCUUUCCCUUCCUCCCUCCUUGUGCAGAGAUCCGCCGCCGCUGCCUUCUUCUUCGCAGGGCCUCCGGCUACCCUGGACCGGGCGCUGCCGAUGCUAGCUCCCCACGCGCCGCUGCCCUAUCUCCAUCCCAUCCUCCCUCUCCCUCCCCCUCUCCCUCCCUUUCCCUUCCUCCCUCCUUGUGCAGAGAUCCGCCGCCACUGCCUUCUUCUUCGCAGGGCCAAUGGCCUCCUCGGGCUCAACCUCCAUGUCCAGGAGCUUUGCCAAGAUCUCUGUGCCCUCCGCGCUGAUCGAAUUGAUGCGGCACGCCUUCAUUAGUCCGCGCCAUUGCUGUCUUCCUUGCCUCCGGCUAGCCGCCAUCUUGCCCCGAUCUGCCACCGUGGGCCGCCGUGUUCCCGUGCACUGCCGUGUUCGCCACCGUGCGCCCCCUCUGCCUCGCUCCCGUGCGGCGCCGUGUUUGCCACCGUGCGUCCCCUCUGCCUCGCUCCCGUGCGCCGCUGUGUUCGCCGUCGUGCGUCCUCGCUUGGACCAGCGCCGGCGCCGCCCAAUUUCUGCCGGCCAAACCGCUGCCAGUGGCCCCACCACCACGUGGGGCUGUUAGAUUAGGGUUAAACUUUUUUUGCGAGUUAGAUUAGGGUUAAUCCAUGAUGUGGGUAUUAAUUAGUUAAUUAAUCUGUUAAUGGCAUAUUAAAUCAAUCUAAAAUAAUCAAUCCAAAAUAACUAACCUAUCACAAGUGGACCCAUUCCCUUGUUGACCCAGUCAACUGCUGACCAUUUGACCUUGACAGUGGGUCCUACAUGUCGGUGACAAAAGGAGGCAGGGGCAAAAUGUCCAGAAAACAUCAAGUAAACGGUCAAACCCCUUUGACCUAAUGGAAACAGAAUAGAAGGGCAAUUAUGUAAGGGGAACUAACGGCGGAGGGGCAUUUUUGAGCAGGCUUUGGAAUUAGGGGUAUAUCUGAGUAGGUGGUUCGAGUUAGGGACAGAAAUGCAAAUGGCCCUAUUAUCUAUGGAUUCAUUCGAUUUACCGAUUAUGUGUAUGUUUAAGCACUUUUCAGUUUGCAUUUGGCCAUCCAUCUUUUUACUCGUAUCAUAGUAUCUUGGUACAAUUUGCAUUCUUUUCACACAAAAAAGGGUACAAUUUGCAUUUGAUCAGUCGGUUUCUCACCUCAUAGUUUUUCUUGUACACUUCGGCUUCUGAUCCUGAAUGUGCCAUCCGACUCUUCAUAUUCGAAACUACUUCAUUGAUGAUGGUUGUGCCCGACCUUUGUAUGAUAGGUAAAUCGAGUGGCUGAUGCCCUUUUUAAACAUAUGCAUGUUCGGCUAGAUUUAAGCAUCGUCUGAGAAUCGUGCGAUUUCUGUCGUGUGUAUAACACCACUCCUUCAUUUUUUUUGAGCGAAACGGCUACCUAGACAACAGUGCUGCCCGAUCUAUGCAUGACGUGCUAAUCCAGCCGCUGGUGCCCUUCUCAAUCAUGUGCAUGUCAAACCUCAACAAAAUAAAUCAUGUGCAUGUCCGGCUGGAUUUAAGUUCGUGUGUAUAGCACGGCUGUUUUUUUUAGGGAAAGCACGGCUGUUUUUUGAGUUGUGCUCUUCAUCCGGAAGAUAAUGUUGGAAAUAUGCCCUAGAGGCAAUAAUAAAAGUGUUAUUAUUAUAUUUCCUUAUUCAUGAUAAUUGUCUUUUAUUCAUGCUAUAACUGUAUUAUCCGAAAAUCGUAAUACACGUGUGAAUACAUAGACCACAAUAUGUCCCUAGUGAGCCUCUAGUUGACUAGCUCAUUGUGAUCAACAGAUAGUCAUGGUUUCCUGGCUAUGGACAUUGGAUGUCGUUGAUAACGGGAUCACAUCAUUAGGAGAAUGAUGUGAUGGACAAGACCCAAUCCUAAGCCUAGCACAAAGAUCGUGUAGUUCGUUUGCUAGAGCUUUGCCAAUGUCAAGUAUCUCUUCCUUUGACCAUGAGAGCGUGUAACUCCUGGAUACCGUAGGAGUGCUUUGGGUGUAUCAAACGUCACAACGUAACUGGGUGACUAUAAAGGUGCACUACAGGUAUCUCCGAAAGUAUCUUUUGUUUUAUGCGGAUCGAGACUGGGAUUUGUCACUCCGUGUAAACGGAGAGGUAUCUCUGGGCCCACUCGGUAGGACAUCAUCAUAUGCGCAAUGUGACCAAGGAGUUGAUCACGGGAUGAUGUGUUACGGAACGAGUAAAGUGACUUGCCGGUAACGAGAUUGAACAAGGUAUUGGAUACCGACGAUCGAAUCUCGGGCAAGUAACACACCGAUAGACAAAGGGAAUUGAAUACGGGAUUGAUUAAGUCCUUGACAUCGUGGUUCAUCCGAUGAGAUCAUCGUGGAACAUGUGGGAGCCAUCAUGGGUAUCCAGAUCCCGCUGUUGGUUAUUGACCGGAGAACGUCUCGGUCAUGUCUGCAUGUCUCCCGAACCCGUAGGGUCUACACACUUAAGGUUCGAUGACGCUAGGGUUAUAAAGGAAGCUUGUAUGUGGUUACCGAAUGUUGUUCGGAGUCCCGGAUGAGAUCCUGGACGUCACGAGGAGUUCCGGAAUGGUCCAGAGGUAAAGAUUUAUAUAUGGGAAGUCCUAUUUUGGCCACCGAAAAAUGUUCGGGAUUUUUCGGUAUUGUACCGGGAAGGUUCUAGAAGGUUCCGGAGUGGGGCCCACCUGCAUGGGGGGACCCACAUGAACUUGGGUAGUGGGGGUAAGGCCCCACACCCCUAGUCAAGGCGCACCAAGAUCCCCCUUAGAAGGAAUAAGAUCAUAUCCCGAAGGGAUAAGAUCAAGAUCCCUAAAAAGGGGGAUAACAAUCGGUGGGGAAGGAAAUGAUGGGAUUUCUUUCGUCCCACCUUGGCCAACGCCCCAAUGGACUUGGAGGGCAAGAAACCAGCCCCUCCACCCCUAUAUAUAGUGGGGAGACGCAUGGGAGCUUCAGACGAAGUUCUGGCGCAGCCCUCCCCCUCUCCCAAGUCGUCCUCCUCUCCCGUGGUGCUUGGCGAAGCCCUGCAGGAUUGCCACGCUCCUCCACCACCACCACGCCGUUGUGCUGCUACUGGAUGGAGUCUUCCUCAACCUCUCCCUCUCUCCUUGCUGGAUCAAGGCGUGGGAUACGUCACCGGGCUGUACGUGUGUUGAACGCGGAGGUGUCGUGCGUUCGGCACUUGAUCAUCGGUGAUUUGAAUCACGACGAGUACGACUUCAUCAACCCCGUUCACUUGAACGCUUCCGCUUAGUGAUCUACAAGGGUAUGUAGAUGCACUCACUUUCUACUCGUUGCUGGUCUCUCCAUAGAUAGAUCUUGGUGAUACGUAGGAAAAUUUUUGAAUUUCUGCUACGUUCCCCAACAGUGGCAUCAUGAGCUAGGUCUAUUGCGUAGAUUCUUUGCACGAGUAGAACACAAAGUAGUUGUGGGCGUUGAUGUUGUUCAAUAUGCUUACCGUUACUAGUCCAAUCUUGUUUCGACGGUAUUGUGGGAUGAAGCGGCCCGGACCGACCUUACACGUACUCUUACGUGAGACAGGUUCCACCGAUUGACAUGCACUUGGUGCAUAAGGUGGCUAGCGGGUGCCAGUCUCUCCCACUUUAGUCGGAACGGAUUCGAUGAAAAGGGUCCUUAUGAAGGGUAAAUAGCAAUUGGCAUAUCACGUUGUGGUUUUGCGUAGGUAAGAAACGUUCUUGCUAGAAACCCAUAGCAGCCACGUAAAACAUGCAAACAACAAUUAGAGGACAUCUAACUUGUUUUUGCAGGGUAUGCUAUGUGAUGUGAUAUGGCCAAAAGGAUGUGAUGAAUGAUAUAUGUGAUGUAUGAGAUUGAUCAUGUUCUUGUAAUAGGAUUCACGACUUGCAUGUCGAUGAGUAUGACAACCGGCAGGAGCCAUAGGAGUUGUCUUUAUUUAUUGUAUGACAUGCGUGUCAUUGAAGAACGCCAUGUAAACUACUUUACUUUAUUGCUAAACGCAUUAGUCAUAGAAGUAGAAGUAGUCGUUGGCGUGACAACUUCAUGAAGACACGAUGAUGGAGAUCAUGAUGAUGGAGAUCAUGGUGUCAUGCCGGUGACAAGAUGAUCAUGGAGCCCCGAAGAUGAAGAUCAAAGGAGCUAUAUGAUAUUGGCCAUAUCAUGUCACUACUCUAUUUGAUUGCAUGUGAUGUUUAUCAUGUUUAUGCAUCUUGUUUGCUUAGAACGACGGUAGUAAAUAAGAUGAUCCCUUACAACAAUUUCAAGAAGUGUUCUCCCCUAACUGUGCACCGUUGCUACAGUUCGUCGCUUCUAAGCACCACGUGAUGAUCGGGUGUGAUGGAUUUCUUACGUUCACAUACAACGGGUGUAAGACAGUUUUACACAGCGAAAACACUUAGGGUUAACUUGACGAGCCUAGCAUGUACAGACAUGGCCUCGGAACACGGAGACCGAAAGGUCGAGCAUGAGUCGUAUAGUAGAUACGAUCAACAUGAAGAUGUUCACCGAUGAUGACUAGUCCGUCUCACGUGAUGAUCGGACACGGCCUAGUUGACUCGGAUCAUGUAAUCACUUAGAUGACCAGAGGGAUGUCUAUCUGAGUGGGAGUUCAUAAGAUGAACUUAAUUAUCCUGAACAUAGUCAAAAGACCUUUUGCAAAUUAUGUCGUAGCUCGCGCUUUAGUUCUACUGUUUUAGAUAUGUUCCUAGAGAAAAUAUAGUUGAAAGUUGAUAGUAGCGAUUAUGCGAACAAUAGAAAGCUUAUGUCCUUAAUGCACUGCUCAGUGUGCUGAACCCCAAACGUCGUUUGUGGAUGUUUCGAACAUCGAACAUACACGUUUUGAUAACUACGUGAUAGUUCAGUUAAAUGGUUUAAGUAGAGGCACCAAAGACGUUUUCGAAACAUCGCGGAACAUAUGAGAUGUUUCGAGGGCUGAAAUUGGGAUUUCAGGCUCGUGCUCACGUCAAGAGGUAUAAGACCUCCGACGAUUCUCUUAGCCUGCAAACUAAGGGAGAAAAUCUCAAUCGUUGAGCUUGUGCUCAGAUUGUCUGAGUGCAACAAUCACUUGAAUUGAGUGGGAGUUGAUCUUCCAAAUGAGAUAGUGAUGUUUCUCCAAAGUCAUUGCCACCGAGCUGCUAGAGCUUCGUGAUGAACUAUAACAUAUCAGGGAUAAAUAAGAUGAUCCUUGAGGUAUUCAUGAUGUUUGACACCGCGAAAGUAGAAAUCAAGAAUGAGAAUCAAUUGUUGAUGGUUGGUGAAACCACUAGUUUCAAGAAGGGCAAGGGCAAGAAGGGAUACUUCAUGAAACGGCAAAUCAGCUGCUGCUCCAGUGAAGAAACCCAAGGUUGAACCCAAACCCGAGACUAAGUGCUUCUGUAAUAAGGGGAACAGUCACUAGAGCAGAAUUACCCUAGAUACUUGGUAGAUGAGAAGGCUGGCAAGGUCGAUAGAAGUAUAUUGGAUAUACAUUAUGUUAAUGUGUACUUUACUAGUACUCCUAGUAGCACCAGGGUAUAAGAUACCGGUUCGGUUGCUAAGUGUUAGUAACUCGAAAUAAAAGCUACGACAUAAACGGAGACUAGCUAAAGGUGAGCUGACGAUAUGUGUUGGAAGUGUUUCCAAUGUUGAUAUGAUCAAGCAUCGCACGCUCCCUCUACCAUCGAGAUUUGGUGUUUGCGUUGAGCAUAGACAUGAUUGGAUUAUGUCUAUCGCAAUACGGUUAUUCAUUUAAAGAGAAUAAUGGUUACUCUAUUUAUUUGAAUAUAAUACCUUCAAUGGUCUUGCACCUAAAAUGAAUGGUUUAUUGAAUCUCAAUCGUAGUGAUACACAUUUUCAUGCCAAAAGAUAUAAGAUAGUAAUGAUAGUACCACUUACUUGUGGCACUGCCAUGUAAGUCAUAAUGGUAUAAAACGCAUGAAGAAGCUCCAUGUUGAUGGAUCUUUGGACUCACUCGUUUUUGAAAAGUUUGAGACAUGUGAACCAUGUCUAUUAGUGUAUAUGCAUGAAGAAACUCCAUGCAAAUGGACCGUUUGGACUCACUUGAUUUUGAAUCACUUGAGAUAUGCAAAUCAUACCACAUGGGCAAGAUGACUGAAAAGCCUCGUUUUCAGUAAGAUGGAACAAGAUAGCAACUUGUUGGAAGUAACACAUUUUGAUGUGUCCAAUCCAAUGAGUGUUGAGGCAUGCAGUCAAUAUCGUUAUGAUCUUACUUCACAGAUGAUUCGAGUAGAUGUUGAGAAUAUUUACUUGAUGAAACACAAGUCUGAAUUAUUGAAUGGUUCAAGUAAUUUCAGAGUGAAGUAGAAGAUCAUUGUGACAAGAGGAUAAAAUGUCUAUGAUAUGAUCAUAGAGAUGAAUAUCUAAGUUACGAGUUUUGGCACACAAUUAAGACAUUGUGGAAAUUGUUUCGCAAUUAAUACCGCCUGGAACACCAUAGUGUGAUGGUGUGUCCGAACAUCAUAGUUGCACCCUAUUGGAUAUGGUGCGUACCAUGAUGUCUCUUAUCGAAUUACCACUAUUGUCCAUGGGUUAGGCAUUAGAGACAACCACAUUCACUUUAAAUAGGGCACCACGUAAUUCCGUUGAGAUGACACCGUAUGAAUUAUGGUUUAGAGAAACCUAAGUUGUCGUUUCUUAAAAGUUUGGGGCUGCGACGCUUAUAUGAAAAAGUUUCAGGUUGAUAAGCUCGAACCCAAAGCGGAUAAAAUGCAUCUUCAUAGGAAACCCAAAACAGUUGGGUAUACCUCCUAAUUCAGAUCCGAAAGCAAUAUGGAUUGUUUCUUGAAUCGGGUCCUUUCUCGAGGAAAAGUUUCUCUCGAAAGAAUUGAGUGGGAGGAUGGUGGAAACUUGAUGAGGUUAUUGAACCGUCUCUUCAACUAGUGUGUGGCAGGGCACAGGAAGUUGUUCCUGUGGCACCUACACCAAUUGAAGUGGAAGCUUGUGAUGUUGAUCAUGAAACUUCGGAUCAAGUCACUACCAAACCUCGUGGGAUGACAAGGAUACGUACUACAUCAGAGUGGUACGUAAUCUUGUCUUGGAAGUCAUGUUGCUGGACAACAAUGAACCUACGAGCUAUGGAGAAGCAAUGGUGGGCCCGGAUUCUGAUAAAUGGCUCGAGGCCAUAAAAUCCGAGAACGGAUCCAUGACUUUGGAAGAAAUACUUGAUGGUCAUAAGGCCAUUGGGUACGGAUGGAUUUUAAAAGGAAGACAGACAAUGAUGGUAAGAAUUACCAUUAAGAAAGCUCGACUUGUCGUUAAGAUAUUUUCCGACAAGUUCAAGGAGUUGAUUACGGUGAGGUUUUCUCACUCGUAGCGAUGCUAAGAGUCUGUUGGAAUUGGAUUAGUAGUUACUGCAUGAUUGAUGAAAUCUUGCAGAUAGGAUGUCAAAACAUUGUUUCCUCGACGUUAUACUUGAGGAAAGGUUGUAUGUGAUACAACCGGAAGGUUUUGUCAAUCCCAAAAGAUGCUAAUAAGUAUGCAAAGCUCCAGCAAUCCUUCUAAGGACUGGAGUGAGCAUCUCGGAGUUGGAAUGUGUGCUUUGAUGAUGAUCAAAGAUUUUGGGUUUGUACAAAGUUUACGAGAAACUUGUAUUUCCAAAGAAGUGAGUGGGAGCACUAUAGAAUUUCUGAUGAGUAUAUGUUGUUGACAUAUUGUUGAUCAGAAAUGACGUAGAAUUUCUGGAAAGCAUAUAGGGUUAUUUUGAAAGUGUUUUUCAAUGGAAAGCCUGGAUUAAGCUACUUGAACAUUGAGCAUCAAGAUCUAUAAGGAUAGAUCAAAUUGCUUAAUAAUACUUUCAAAUGAGCACAUACCUUGACAUGAUCUUGAAGGUGUUCAAGAUGGACCAGUCAAAGAAGGAGUUCUUGCCUGAGGUGUAAGGUAUGAAGUUAGGACUUAAAGCUCGACCACGGCAGAAAAGAGAGAAAGGACGAAGGUUGUCCCCUAUACUUUAGACGUAGGCUCUACAGUAUGCCAUGCUGAGUACCGCACCUGAAGUGUGCCUUGCCAUGAGUCAGUCAAGGGGUACAAGAGUGAUCCAAGAAUGGAUCACAAGACAGCGGUCAAAGUUAUCCUUAGAAAUUAGUGGACUAAGGAAUUUUUCUCGAUUAUGGAGGUGGUAAAAGAGUUCGUCGUAAAGGGUUACGUCGAUGCAAGCUUGACACCUAUCCGGAUAGCUCUGAGUAGAGAUACAGGAUACAUAUAAUGGAGCAACAAUUUAGUAUAGCUCCAAGUAGAACAGUUAUUUGGAUUAGCUCCAAAUAGAGCGUGGUAGCUACAUCUAGUAGAUGACAUAGAGAUUUGUAAAACACACACGGAUCUGAAAGGUUCGGACCCGUUGACUAAAACCUCUCUCACAAGCAACAUGAUCAAACCUAAAACUCAUUAAGUAUUAAUCACAUGGUGAUGUGAACUAGACUACUGAUUCUAGUAAACUCUUGGGUGUUAGUCACAUGGCGAUGUGACCUGUGAGUGUUAAUCACAUGGCGAUGUGAACUAGAUUAUUGACUCUAGUGCAAGUGGGAGACUGUUGGAAAUAUGCCCUAGAGGCAAUAAUAAAAGUGUUAUUAUUAUAUUUCCUUGUUCAUGAUAAUUGUCUUUUAUUCAUGCUAUAAAUGUAUUAUCCGGAAAUCGUAAUACACGUGUGAAUACAUAGACCACAAUAUGUUCCUAGUGAGCCUCUAGUUGACUAGCUCGUUGUGAUCAACAGAUAGUCAUGGUUUCCUGGCUAUGGACAUUGGAUGUCGUUGAUAACGGGAUCACAUCAUUAGGAGAAUGAUGUGAUGGACAAGACCCAAUCCUAAGCCUAGCACAAAGAUCGUGUAGUUCGUUUGCUAGAGCUUUGCCAAUGUCAAGUAUCUCUUCCUUUGACCAUGAGAGCGUGUAACUCCUGGAUACCGUAGGAGUGCUUUGGGUGUAUCAAACGUCACAACGUAACUGGGUGACUAUAAAGGUGCACUACAGGUAUCUCCGAAAGUAUCUAUUGUUUUAUGCGGAUCGAGACUGUGAUUUGUCACUCCGUGUAAACGGAGAGGUAUCUCUGGGCCCACUCGGUAGGACAUCAUCAUAUGCGCAAUGUGACCAAGGAGUUGAUCACGGGAUGAUGUGUUACGGAACGAGUAAAGUGACUUGCCGGUAACGAGAUUGAACAAGGUAUUGGAUACCGACGAUCGAAUCUCGGGCAAGUAACACACCGAUAGACAAAGGGAAUUGAAUACGGGAUUGAUUAAGUCCUUGACAUCGUGGUUCAUCCGAUGAGAUCAUCGUGGAACAUGUGGGAGCCAUCAUGGGUAUCCAGAUCCCGCUGUUGGUUAUUGACCGGAGAACGUCUCGGUCAUGUCUGCAUGUCUCCCGAACCCGUAGGGUCUACACACUUAAGGUUCGAUGACGCUAGGGUUAUAAAGGAAGCUUGUAUGUGGUUACCGAAUGUUGUUCGGAGUCCCGGAUGAGAUCCUGGACGUCACGAGGAGUUCCGGAAUGGUCCAGAGGUAAAGAUUUAUAUAUGGGAAGUCCUAUUUUGGCCACCGGAAAAUGUUCGGGAUUUUUCGGUAUUGUACCGGGAAGGUUCUAGAAGGUUCCGGAGUGGGGCCCACCUGCAUGGGGGGACCCACAUGAACUUGGGUAGUGGGGGUAAGGCCCCACACCCCUAGUCAAGGCGCACCAAGAUCCCCCUUAGAAGGAAUAAGAUCAUAUCCCGAAGGGAUAAGAUCAAGAUCCCUAAAAAGGGGGAUAACAAUCGGUGGGGAAGGAAAUGAUGGGAUUUCUUUCGUCCCACCUUGGCCAACGCCCCAAUGGACUUGGAGGGCAAGAAACCAGCCCCUCCACCCCUAUAUAUAGUGGGGAGACGCAUGGGAGCUUCAGACGAAGUUCUGGCGCAGCCCUCCCCCUCUCCCAAGUCGUCCUCCUCUCCCGUGGUGCUUGGCGAAGCCCUGCAGGAUUGCCACGCUCCUCCACCACCACCACGCCGUUGUGCUGCUGCUGGAUGGAGUCUUCCUCAACCUCUCCCUCUCUCCUUGCUGGAUCAAGGCGUGGGAUACGUCACCGGGCUGUACGUGUGUUGAACGCGGAGGUGCCGUGCGUUCGGCACUUGAUCAUCGGUGAUUUGAAUCACGACGAGUACGACUUCAUCAACCCCGUUCACUUGAACGCUUCCGCUUAGCGAUCUACAAGGGUAUGUAGAUGCACUCACUUUCUACUCGUUGCUGGUCUCUCCAUAGAUAGAUCUUGGUGAUACGUAGGAAAUUUUUUGAAUUUCUGCUACGUUCCCCAACAGAUAAUUACCACUCAGGGUUUUUUUUCUCCAUCUAAAACAGCCCGUACCGGUUCCCGUACUGGCCUUGUGGCCUCGCUCCUCUCUCCCUCCUCUCUUCGAUCCCUAUCCACUCCAAAGAAAAGGAAAAUAACCCCAUCGGCACCUGGUUCUUCAUCCACACGCAUCAUUUCGCCAGAUUUGCUGCCGGCGAAGGUAGAUAUCGCUCGUGGGCGGUGGCCAUCAUUGAGAGUCUACCCCCCUCUAAAAUUUCUCUUCCUGGGGCUGGUGGCGCAGGUGGCCGGGUGAGUGCGUGAACGCGUUUGAUGCGGUCUUCAGGGCAGAUGCUCGCCCACCUCAGCGAGUCCGGCGGCGAGGCCAUCAGGAGGUCCGACGGCUAGCGACGGUGGUGGAUGUGCUGGAGGUUGGUGGCGUUGAGGGGGCAGUAAGGAAGCUCACGGAGAAGGGUGUGGAUUUCCUAGAUGAGUUCGUGCAAUGGAUAAUGGUCGGAUCUGAGGAGCGGGGCAGAGACUUGCACUGCGGCUAUGCUUCAUGAGAGCUAUGGGGUUAUGUAGACAAAUGUGAGAUCGUGCCAUAAGCAAAUGACAUCAAGAUCUGAGCACCGUUGCAGACGGCCUCGAGUUAUUUUCCUCUUCAUCUCCUACAAAAUGUAAGUGCGAGCCGAUCAUAUGCAUCCUUCCUAGUGCAGAUUAUUUUUUUAGUUCCUCCAUAUCACUAUGUAAGUCUGUAGUGUUGUACUCCUUAUUUAUGAAAUUUCUCUUCGUACAGGUUGCUUGCAUGGUCAAUUUGGGCAUCGGUUUGUUAAGCAGCAAAAGCUCGCAUGUUGAAUCUACUCAACUCAAGUAUGUUUUCACCAGAAAACUCAAUCGUGUAGUGUAUGGAAUGACAUGUUUAUUUAGUUUCUACUAAUUAGUUUGGAUAACCUCUGAUCAUCCGAUGAAGUAACUGAGAAGAAAUUUUGGUCAUGUUAUUACUUCCCAUUUUUUUAUACCUAUGCAAUUAAUGUUAUUUGUUGCUGGUUUUGCUGUGGCGCCAAGUCUAAAUGAGGGAACCUUGUUUUUAUUCAAAGCAAGAUCCAUGUGUUGACAUAGGAUGGAUUUUGUACAAAAUGCCUAUAAUAUCAAGCUUUUCUAAUAUUCUCUUAACUGAAAAAGGCUGUUGGAUAGAGAGCUAUUAUGAAGAGCAGAAAACUCAUAUAUCAAGUAAUUACAACAUGACAUGCUUCUGGUAGUGCUAACUUCAGCCGUUCAGCGCCUUGUUAUGUAAUACGUGUCCUUAUAUUGGUAGAUGUCAAGUGCUCUUCUCUAUCUCAGUUAUGGUCUGCCUUAGUUUCAGUCUAAGCUAUAUUAAUCAACUAAUUUUGUGGGUAACCUCCUUGUUCGCCUAGGUUUUUUUGGCUACUGUAUCUUCGAACUGACCACUUCCCUUGUAGCAUUUUUCAUCAACACUUCCGGUCUUGUGGCCAUAAACCUCUUUGGUCAUUUUAUGCAAUCUCCUUAUGGCUGCAGUAUCAGUACAUCUUAUUUUGCCACAACUGGCAACUGAGUCUUCAUCUUCAAGCAUUGCAGUUUUUACUUCCGCUUCAACAUGUUUCUUGUUCCCAGCAUACAUCUCUCCUUUCUUGUACACUUAUCUUGGUGUAUUCAUCCUCUGAGCCAUCCGAUAAUAUGAUAGAUCUCUAUCAUUUUCUUUUGUCAUUGCAGAGUCCAUGUGAUGUUUAUGUUUUUUUUCUUCACACCCAUCAUCAUGUACUAUAACCCCAUUAGUAUCGUGUGGUUCUUCUUACAUAGAAACAAAUUGUCAUAUCCUUUUCUGAGGUGAAUCUCUAUUGUUAUUUGUCUGCAAAAUAAAAAUACAUUUCAAAGAUUACACGUGUCUCUAAAAAUUGAGAAGUAGUACUCUGAGAAAAUUAAUCACCCUUUAGCCUCUAUGUUAUGCUUCUUUGUUGCUUUUUUGAACACGGCGUCCACUUCAUCAUGCAAAAUUCUGAGAAUCAUAUGUGAGAUGUAUUAGUUAGGAAAAUACAAACACAAUACUUCUUUUGUAAUGGAUAAAGGCAAAUUUUCCUCCUCGGCUUUAUCUUUCAGGUCCAUCAUCUCAAGCCUAUCAUCACACACAAAUGUUCUUUUUACUGCAUAGUUUUUUGUUCUGAAAGUGAGAUUGCCAUCGCUGAACAUGAGCUGAAAAUAAGUGUUUGUCAACAUUAUUAUUAUGUAAUCUUUGGCGCUUCUUCAUAUUUCUCAUCCAGUGAAUUUAGCAAGUCUGAGACAAAUGUAUUGAACAAUUUUUCGGCCUCACCGUCAAAUAAAGUGCAACUUGUAGUAGUCGUACAGUCAUUAAUUUAUUGUCAAAUACGAUAACUAUCAUACGAUUGUUAUUAGUGUAGAGUAAAUGUAAUAGGAAAGAAGUCUUCUUCAAAUUAGUAGAAUAUGCUUACCGAGGUGAUACAUCAUCUCGAUAUGUAUCACAACUCUCGUAACAGUACUUGUCAACUUCCUUCUUAUCUAGUUUGUGAAAAUCAUCACAUCACAUAUACCAGCUUUGAAUAUGAUCACUUGUAGCUAUUACUGUGAACACAAAAUCCUAAAAUGAUUUCCCAAAAAUUUAGCAUACUGGAGAAAGUGAGAGACAUAAUUAAGUAGAUAUGCACUAUAACUGAUAUUUACUAAGUUGUCAUUGCAGGUGUUGAGAGUCUGGUUUUCCUCAAAAAGUGGCGAUUUCAUAUCUUAGAAGAAGUCUCGCAUUAGUACAAAUUUGAACUAAAACCAUAACACUUAUUUUGGAUCGAGGGAGUAUGAAUUUGGUAUCGAUUCUUGUGUUGAGUUCCUGCACAUUUGGAGCAAAUCGAGUAUAAUAAUUAUCUUAGAUUGGUGAAUAAAGAUGAGUCAAGAUAAAUUAGCUGAGAAAUAAUAAAAGUUGGUCUUUCAUACCUGUCAACAAUUUCCCAAGUUUAUGGUAUAUCUAGAUCUGUAUAGAUUCUUAUGACACUUGACUUUAAGCAUAAUCAUGUUUAAUCAACGUAAAUUCUGUUAGACAUAUUUUUAUAAGGGAGAAGUAUAUUUUUUGUCCCUAAACUCUUUCGAAAGUAUAGAAAUAGUCCUUGAAUUCAAAAACCAGCAAAACUUAGUCCCUCAACUUUUUAAACCGGAUUAGUUUAGUCCUUCAUACCGCUUCGAGUGGUUUCCAUCUAAUGUGGACAUGGUUUUGACCAAAAACUUGAAACGUCACCUAGGCUUGACCGCCACGUCAGUCCAUGUCAUUUUUUUCAAAGCACAGUGCAUGUCACCAAGGGCCCCAGUACUACGAGGCGCGGCGAGUUCGGAUGAGAAGCCGGACAGCGUCGUCCAUGACGGUCAUGCGGCGGAGACAAAGUGCUCGAGCGGCCAGAGGAGCUCGGCGACCCAGGGCGUGGCGUUGGCAGACGAGUUACUUGGCCUCCGUGUUGCACGGGCCGUCGAGCUGCAGCCUGCGCCCAGCGCGACGCCGCUGACCUUUUGGACAGGAGGCCUGAGCAGGAGGAGGAGCUCGAGGCCGCGAGCUCGGACAAGCCCUCCGCGGGCACCUCCACUGACCGCGUUGGCCAUGCAUCCGAUCGUAUGCAGCAGGGUGUAAGGUGCAGUCUAGGGAGCAACACAUCACGUGAGUGUGUAUUCUGGGCGAGAUCGGAUCAGCAUGUUCGUUGUGUUUGGCCUGCAUCUCCUGCGGGCCGAAUCAAUACGUAUGUUCACGUAUACCUACGUGUUUUGCCGGCGGCUAGAAUCAAUCCAGCAGCUAGUCUGCACUUCGUGUUCCUUCCUGGAGCACGCCUGCCUCACAGGAGACCCAAGGUCGCGCCCUGGUGCACCAGCUCAUUGCAGGAGCUCGCGAUCCCUGCUCGCGUGGUGCCCCUCCAUCCAUCCUAGCUAUAGUCAUGUCAAGCCCAACCACAACAUGAAUGAAGAACGGUAAGUCCGUCAGUGCAGACCUUGGUUUUAUGAGGACCCGCGCGAGCGUGUAGACUUGAGCCACCAGCGGUGGCAGCGACACGAGCAAAAGAGCAGCUUUGGGAGCUUCACGCCGUUGACCCUGCCUCCAGCACUCUAACAGACCAAGGGAAUACACAUGCCAUCGUUAAUCAGCCUCAUCAUGGACCACCCGGGCCGACGCGCACCGAGCCGCACCACGCCGGCUGCAGGCGCAGCCGUAUUUGCCCGUUGCACACACUGCCGGGCGCCGUCGACACGCACUGCCCGCUCGCUGAGCAUUAUACCGAGCACCUUUCAUGCACGUGUCCGAGUCAAAAACCACACUGCGUCAGCAGAAAAUCACCCUAAGCAAGACGAGGGAUUAAACUUAUCCGGUUUUGAAAGUUGAGGGACUAAACUUAUCUGGUUUUGAAAGUUGAGGGACUAAGUUUUGCUGGUUUCGGAGUCGAGGGACCAUUGCUAUACUUUCGAAAGAGUUGAAGGACGAAAAAUAUACUUAUCCCUUUCUAUAAUUAAUAGAAGAGCUUGUAACAUUAAUGAACUUACCAUUGAACUUCUGCACCAGUGAUGAUGAAUGGUUGUGCAAUAUGGACUUAAUCUUAUAUUAGAAUUCAAUCUGGCUGAAAUAUGAAGGUUCAGGGUUAUUUCUUUUUAUUAUUGAUUCCACAUGCUCCAUUUGGGUUGGUAGUCCAAUGACGUCUAUAAAAGCGGAGUUAAUUAUUUGAAAGUUUCAUCUAAUUUUUUUCCUUUGUAGCAAACUCGAAGUAGUAAACGGGGUAACCUUCUGAUGAUCCUCUCACCUCCUUUACUUUUUUAAUGUAUGAAAAAUAACUAUAUUUCACUGCUUACUCGAAUAUACUUAUUCCACAAACUUAAAAUUGUUACAUAAAUAGAUUCUCAUUUAUCUUUGUUCUAUAUGUGUCUAUAAAUUAAACUACUUCCCGAUAGUCGCAAGAAUUGUUUGGCCAUGUGAAAACAAUCAAAACAUACUUAGUAGUUGUUGUAGAAAAUAACAGAACAGUUCGCAAGUAAAUAUAUGAUGACUAAACCUUUUCAUCGAUGAAUAUCAUACCGGCAUACUUAGUAGUUAAAACAAACAAUAGAACAAUCUGCUAAUAAAUAUGCAAUGGCUAAACCUUUUCAUCUAUGAAUAUCAUGCCGAGGUUCCAGAGCCAUUUAAUUGUAGGAUUGAUUGAAUUUCAUAUUCUCAUUACUUGCACUUGAAUACAUAGUUUCAUCCUCCUGUUGUGAACUCGCUAUGCUUGUUAUAUGCCAUUGCUGCAAAAGGAUCACAAAAUCGCUAGGGAAUUAUUAAUAAUGCACCUAUGAAGAUUGUAUGCAGAAUAACAAUUACAAACCUUGAUGAUUCAGGUGAGAGGCUACUCAGAAGGUAGAUUGGAUCCAGAAUAACAAUUGCAAACCUUGAUGAUUCAGGUGAGUCACUCAGAAGGUUGCCAUGACUACAUCGGCGUUGCAUAGUUGAAUCGGAAGACUUUGAUUGCCAAGGUAGAUUGGAUCCAGAAUAACAAUUAGAAACCUUUAUGACUCAGGUGAGAAGCCACUCAGAAGGUUGCUUGGGCGUCACUACAUCUGGCUUGGUGACAUUACGUAGUUGAAUUGGAAGACUGAUUUUGUUGGUAGUGUGCUAGCUAGGUAGUAGAUUUGGCUGACUUCAAUUUUUGGGCAUGUGCUGGGUGCGGUUGCAUGUAUGUGUUUUUAUGUGCCGUGUUUGCCUUGGCAAGUCAUGUUUGUAGUCCGUAUACACGUCUUAUUUGCAUGUGUGUCCGAGUUUGAAAAAAAAUGAUGUCCUUAUUUGCUUAGGUUCCUUAUUUAUUUAUUUAUUUAUUUAUUUAGGUUUGACUACUAUUUUUAUCCUAAUUACAAUAUAAUUGUUUUUAUCCUAAUUACACAUGAUGGAACAUGGAUGUGUUGGUCCGUUAUAUGCACGUACACGUUAUAUGAACGUACACGUGACAACACAACUUUUCUCGUUUACGUGUUG